Molecule: long non-coding RNA, 2280 nt
Filed under: Mytilus galloprovincialis (Mediterranean mussel)
Lineage: Eukaryota; Metazoa; Mollusca; Bivalvia; Mytilida; Mytilidae
Source: RNAcentral
CAGGAACACAUGAACCAUUAAGUAACAAUGAUAUAGGUUUCUAUUGUAAAGCCAAUCUGAAAUCAUGGCUUCUCUUUCUGAAGAAGAGGAGAAUUAUGUCCGGUUAGCGUUAUUAUUGAAAGGAGUGACACCUAGAGCAGUCCGUACUUAUUUUGACAGAGAAUUUCCACCUACCUCUCUACCCUCAACACUAAGUACAAGUCACAACACUCUUUUGGACUUAAAAGUAAACAGAAUCAUAAACCAGACUCAGUGGAAACUUUUGAUUCCAAGAAAUGGUAGGUCUUUAUGUGACUGCAGAAAUUUUGUUAAUUAAGAUUUCAUUAACAUGUGGUUAACAAUUUUUUUCUUCUGGUGAUGGCUACUAAACAAAAAAAAAUCUUAUUUAUGAAAUAACAUCUUCAAUAUUCUUUUUGUCGAGCCUUCGACUUUAGUCGAAAAAGCGAGACUAAGCAAGCCUACAUUCCGUCGUCGUCGGCGGCGGCCGUCAACAAAUAUUUCACUCUGUGGUUAAGUUUUUUGAAAUUUUAAUAACUUUCUUAAACUAUACUGGAUUUCCACCAAACUUUGACAGAAGCUUGUUUAUGAUCAUAAGAUAGUAUCCAGAAGUAAAUUUUGUAAAAAUAAAAAUUCCAUUUUUUCCGUGUUUUAUUAUAAAUGGACUUAGUUUUUUCUGCGGGGAAACAAAACAUUCACUCUGUGGUUAAAAUUUUUAGAAUUUUAAUAACUUUCUCUAACUAUACUGGGUUUGUACCAAACUUGGACAGAAGCUUGUUUAUGAUCAUAAGAUAGUAUCCAGUAGUAAAUUUUGUAAAAAGAUUACUCCGUUUUUUCUGUAAUUUACUUUUAAAUGGACUUAUACAAUAGGCGAGACACUGGGUUCCGCGGAACCCUUACAAAUUUUUUUACAUACUUGUAACUUAGUUGUUGGUUAAUUAAGUUCACAUUUAAAGAUCUAAUUACAGAGUUGAAUUGGUAACUUAAAGUUUAUUUUCCUUUUUUGUCAUAAUUCCAUAAGAUUUUAUUUUGAACCAUUUUGGAUAAACUGUUUCAUUCUUAAAUACUUAACAGUCCCGUUCUAAUGAUAAAGACUUUAAAUAUAAAAUAAAUUACCACGAACAAUUUGAAAUGUUUUUGUUUCAUAGGUUGUACGAAAAUUGUUCAUCCAUUUAGAUAUCAAAAGUGGGGUUAACUGGCAAAAAAGACGAAACCAUUAUCUCGUCUUUCACAUUGGAUGGGUAUGCUUCCCGAGUGGUAUUUAAAACUGUAUUUUGUGUGCACAAUGUUUAUUUUUCGCUCAUCCUGUAAUGAUUAUACAAUACAAUACAAUACAAAGUUUUUUAUUGUCAAUUUAUGACGCCCAAUAAUUUGAGCAGUACAAUUAAGUUCAAUUUCAUACAAGUGAUUACAUAUUGAUUACAUUGAUUAUUUAACAAUUAAACAAAUUAUGUCCUGAUUGUAAAUGAGCAUAAUCCCCUCCCCUUUUACAAACUUAUAUGAGGAUGACAUGCCUUGUAUGUUUAAAACAUCUGAGAAUAAAUGAUUGUCCCCAUAACAUAAAGAAUGAUGACAAAAAUGGGAGAGCAUAAAUAAUUGUAAUAAAGCUGAAGUACACUAAUUCUAUACAUAUUUAUGUCUUAUAAAAAAAAAAUCCUAUACUGACUGACUCGAAUCUUUCACACACAAAUUCUGUAAACAGGCUACAACUUAAAAACCUUGUCCUCUUAUACAUGUAAAUGAAAUUAUUGAUUAUUUCAAAGAUAUAAUAAUUUUUGCAGUAUUUUUAAAGUAAUAUUUUAUCUGUAAUUAGUUUUACGUAAUAUUUAAAAUGGUGAGUGAAAUACUCCAGCAUAACACCUUUUAACACUGAUUUUAGGAUUAUAAGUGAUACAUUUCUGUUGCUUUUGAUGUUACAGGGGUUCCGGAUUCCAAAACAUUUGAUGUAACGUUGAUGAUCUGUUUGAUCAGAAACUUAACAUCUAUCAAUCCUUCCAGUCAUGGGAUUUGACAGCCUUCCACUACCAGGGGAAAUAACUCCAGGAUCUGAUCUAGCCAGGAUUAAAUGUUACAGGAAUAAACUAGCUCAUCAUGAUAGUAAUACAAUAGAUACUGCUUAUUUCAAUACAGCAUGGAGAGAUAUAUCAGAGGUAACUGUGGAUCUACAAUAUUGAUACUUUCAUUUAUAUUUGACAUGUUGGACAUUUUUAGAACAUUUCAGUGUUUUUUUACGACUGUAAAAAUUAUUUGUUAUCAUAUUCUCUUGACCAUACUGUAACUGUC